AUUGAACGCUGGCGGCAUGCCUAACACAUGCAAGUCGAACGGCAGCACGGUCUAGCUUGCUAGAUGGGUGGCGAGUGGCGAACGGGUGAGUAACGCGUAGGAAUAUGCCUUGAAGUGGGGGACAACUUGGGGAAACUCAAGCUAAUACCGCAUAAUUUCUUAGGAAAAAAGCUGGGGACCUUAGGGCCUGGCGCUUCAAGAUUAGCCUGCGUACGAUUAGCUAGUUGGUAGGGUAAGAGCCUACCAAGGCGACGAUCGUUAGCUGGUCUGAAAGGAUGGCCAGCCACACUGGAACUGAGACACGGUCCAGACUCCUACGGGAGGCAGCAGUGGGGAAUAUUGGACAAUGGGGGCAACCCUGAUCCAGCAAUGCCGCGUGUGUGAAGAAGGCCUGAGGGUUGUAAAGCACUUUCAGUGGGGAGGAGGAUUGCCAGGUUAAGAGCUAGGUAAUUGGACGUUACCCACAGAAGAAGCACCGGCUAACUCCGUGCCAGCCGCCGCCGUAA
This 506-nucleotide ribosomal RNA is filed under the name uncultured bacterium. RNAcentral's name for it is "partial 16S ribosomal RNA". It matches the Rfam family "Bacterial small subunit ribosomal RNA", at positions 30 to 523 of the family's 1533-position model. The record is from RNAcentral.